This 477-nucleotide ribosomal RNA is filed under the name Fusarium chlamydosporum. Its description in RNAcentral is "eukaryotic LSU rRNA". The stretch from base 123 to 276 matches the Rfam family "5.8S ribosomal RNA". Lineage: Eukaryota; Fungi; Ascomycota; Sordariomycetes; Hypocreales; Nectriaceae. The record is from RNAcentral.
UGACAUACCUAUACGUUGCCUCGGCGGAUCAGCCCGCGCCCCGUAAAAAGGGACGGCCCGCCCGAGGACCCCUAAACUCUGUUUUUAGUGGAACUUCUGAGUAAAACAAACAAAUAAAUCAAAACUUUCAACAACGGAUCUCUUGGUUCUGGCAUCGAUGAAGAACGCAGCAAAAUGCGAUAAGUAAUGUGAAUUGCAGAAUUCAGUGAAUCAUCGAAUCUUUGAACGCACAUUGCGCCCGCCAGUAUUCUGGCGGGCAUGCCUGUUCGAGCGUCAUUUCAACCCUCAAGCUCAGCUUGGUGUUGGGACUCGCGGUAACCCGCGUUCCCCAAAUCGAUUGGCGGUCACGUCGAGCUUCCAUAGCGUAGUAAUCAUACACCUCGUUACUGGUAAUCGUCGCGGCCACGCCGUAAAACCCCAACUUCUGAAUGUUGACCUCGGAUCAGGUAGGAAUACCCGCUGAACUUAAGCAUAUCA